GACGAACGCUGGCGGCGUGCUUAACACAUGCAAGUCGAACGAUGAACCCGGAGCUUGCCCCGGCGGAUUAGUGGCGAACGGGUGAGUAACACGUGAGUAACCUGCCCUUGACCCUGGGAUAACUGCUAGAAAUGGUAGCUAAUACCGGCUACGAACCUCUGGGCCAUAACCAGGGGGUGGAAAGAAAAUCGGUCAAGGAUGUACUCGCGCCCUAUCAGCUAGUUGGUGAGGCAACGGCUCAGCAAGGCGACGACGGGUGGCCGGCCUGAGAGGGGAACCGGCCACAAUGGGAAUGAGAGACGGCUAAGAGUAGUACGGGGGGCAGCAGUGGGGAAUAUUGCAUAAUGGGCGAAAGCCUGAUGCAGCAACGCCGCGUGAGGGAUGACGGCCUUCGGGUUGUAAACCUCUUUUAGUAGGGAAGAAGCGAAAGUGACGGUACCUGCAGAAAAAGCACCGGCUAACUACGUGCCAGCCGCCGCAGUAA
This 484-nucleotide ribosomal RNA is filed under the name uncultured bacterium. RNAcentral describes it as "partial 16S ribosomal RNA". It matches the Rfam family "Bacterial small subunit ribosomal RNA", at positions 28 to 523 of the family's 1533-position model. The record is from RNAcentral.